This 279-nucleotide ribosomal RNA is filed under the name uncultured bacterium. RNAcentral describes it as "partial 16S ribosomal RNA". It matches the Rfam family "Bacterial small subunit ribosomal RNA", at positions 506 to 784 of the family's 1533-position model. The record is from RNAcentral.
UGCCAGCAGCCGCGGUAAUACGGAGGGCGCAAGCGUUACUCGGAAUCACUGGGCGUAAAGAGCGUGUAGGCGGGUUAAUAAGUUUGAAGUGAAAGCCCACGGCUCAACCGUGGAAUUGCAUUUGAUACUGCAUCGCUAGAGUAUAGGAGAGGGAAGUGGAAUUUCUGGUGUAGGAGUGAAAUCCGUAGAGAUCAGAAGGAACACCGGUGGCGAAGGCGACUUCCUGGACUAUUACUGACACUGAGGAGCGAAAGCGUGGGGAGCAGACAGGAUUAGAUA